RNAcentral lists this long non-coding RNA (2595 nucleotides) under Triticum aestivum (bread wheat). RNAcentral's name for it is "long non-coding RNA (TAES_LNC001080)". The record is from RNAcentral. Lineage: Eukaryota; Viridiplantae; Streptophyta; Magnoliopsida; Poales; Poaceae.
CAGCAAAUAUAAACAUAAUUUAUUGCCCAUAAGUGAAGCAUUAUUGAAUACUCCAUUCAAGAGAUGGAUCACACACAUUAUGAUUCUCUCAACAAAACAAUAGGAUAUAAUCAGAAAGAAUGAACUUGUUGCAUCAACAUAGAAUUCAAAAUUAGUCAAACAGUGCAUUUCUUCAUGGCAUGCAACACAAAGUUCAUCCUCGGUAAAAGAAAGCGCAUAAAACAAUCAUGUUUCCAUUGACUAAUAAUGCAAUCGCUUCAGUGUUAUCGGUUUUCAUCAAACAUUCUCCCGUCUUCCAUCCAAUAUCCCUACUAUUGCAGGAAGUGUCAGUAACCUGCAGAAAAAUACAAUCUCUUUAACAAUAAGAAAGAAGUGGCAAGGUCAACUUUGCAUUAUACAUGCAAAUAUAAGUAAACUGUUAAAGUGAUAAUAAAUGAAGGCCCUGAAAUAAAGUAAAUAGCGUAGCGACAAUGUCAAUUACCAAAGAAAAAAGGUAAAAGGCAAAAUUAAAAGCUGGCAAAGUAAAGGUAUGGUUUUAAUCUACUCCCUCGCCUAAUAUACGACCUUUUAGCGAUUUCACUAUUGACUACAAACAUAUAUACUAUAAUGAGUGAAUAUAGUCAUAUACACACUAAACUGUGUCUAGAUAUAUACGAAUCAAGAAAAAGCUAAAAGAUCUUAUAUUAGGGAACAAAGGGAGUAGUAUGCGGCACCAACACAGAUGUGGACCAAUUGGACAGGGAGGUAGUUGAAUUAUUAUAAAUGCUAAUGCGCAGUGGUGGUACCUCUCUAUACUUGGCAGACACGUAUCUAGCAUGCCGGGUUUUGCAUGAUCUGUUAUUUCAUUUUCAUAGGUUUCAAUACUAAUCGGAGAAAAGAAAAGUUCCUCCGUGCUACUCUGUUUGACUCACAAAAUAGACUGGCAAAGAUACUACUCAAGGUUUUUCUUUUUUUCGAGAAAUAACCACUCCGCUUUUGACACGGCAAAAUCAAAUGUGGAACUCUUUCAACAUUAGCAUAGUUGGUACCUUAGCUGAGGGUCUUGUGAUGUUGCCAUGUUUUGUUUUAAGCUGAAUCUUUCGGCUUCAAAGUAAUUAGUUAGUGCUCAAAUAGUCAGCAUUAAUCAAAGGUGUAAACAGACUGUAAAGUAAACAAGUUGCAAUGACCUUCUUCAUCACUUAUGUAGAUUGGAUUACUGAUGCCUUUCCCUAUCAUACUGUAACAUGUACUAAAGGUCUGGAAAUGGCGUGCACACAGGAAGCUAUAUUGUGCCCGAAACUACAGUUUCCGGAAUUUGCAUACAGGUUCCAUUACUCUGUUGGGAAGCAUAAACCAUUGAUCUAUACAGUAAAUUGCUUUUUCUUGAAUUUGCAUAUAAGCUUGGGUUUGUAGUAACCAAACAAUACUCAGUGGCACACAAAACUAAAAGGUACUUCCUUUGUCCCAAAUUGGAGGUAGUAUGUUGCUUGGUGGGCAAUGGCAUGUAUGUAAAUAGAGAUAGAAAACAGAAACGGAAAUAGAAUUGAAAGAGUAAGUGACCAGAUUGUGAACCUAAACAAAAGAAUAUACAAUGGGCAUGCAUCAAAAUAUAUUUAAGUUAAUAAAUGGCAACACAUAUAUAUUAAACAACCUAAACGGAAAGAAUGUACAAAGAACAAGCAUGAAAAUAUAUUUAAGUUAAUGAAUGGCAUCACAUUAUAUAUUAACCAAAAUACAAUAGUCGUCCUAAAGCCAAUAUAAAAAACCAACUAAUAAACCUGAAAGUAGGAAUCGACAUUGCAUUAAUAUCAAAAUCUAAUUGUUCGGCAAUGAAGCAAGUAGCUUGAGCGACUCUAAGUGCGCUUUGUCUUUCCCUUUGCAAGUGUGAUACGUACUAAGCUGUGUUUAAAUAUCUACCAAAAAAGUAUGGCGAUGACGAAGCUGAUACAAAAAGGCCAGCAACUCCUAGUGCAAAUCACAACUGCAAAAUGUUCAAACCAACUAUUUGCUCAGAUGUUGCAACCAUCCUGGCAUCCUGCACAACCAAUACUUUCUACCAUACCAUGAAACACCUAUAUCCCAAAGAAUGUAAGCCAUUACCCUAAUAUGUAAGGCUACUAUUACAGAAAGGAACAUUACCUAGUACUUGGCUGGGCAGAUGGCUACAUAGCUAUUUCAUGCUUCUAAGUAGUUAUACAUGGUCCUUGCAGAAUAAUGCCUAAAAAACAACUUCCUUGAACAAUAGGGAACACAACACAUACAAUAGCCUCAAAGCACUGUAGAUCUCUCUAAACUAAACCAUGCUCAUAGUAAGUAAAUAGAGGAGCACAAAAGGCAUACCGGCAAUAGAGCCAGAUCGUCAAGUGUCUUCCUUUUCUGAAUAUCCAAGAGAAACCAUUGUCAGUUUUUUUCACAAACUCCCAUGAGCCUUGGGAACAGCAAAACAACCCUAAAGAGCAUAAUCAUAUUAUUUCAUGGAAGAAAUUUUUAGGAAACUAACAAAUCUACUCUUUUAACAACUUCCUACCUAGAGUCUAAGAGACUGCAGAUAGCAAGUAGAUCAAAACAAAAUCAAACUGAAAUCAGAUCAUAGAACAUCGAGUUCGCGCCGACGGC